AGCAACGCCGCGUGAGUGAAGAAGGUUUUCGGCAUCGUAAAGCUCUGUUGUAAGAGAAGAACGUGUGUGAGAGUGGAAAGUUCACACAGUGACGGUAACUUACCAAAAAGGGACGGCUAACUACGUGCCAGCAGCCGCGGUAAUACGUAGGUCCCGAGCGUUGUCCGGAUUUAUUGGGCGUAAAGCGAGCGCAGGCGGUUUAAUAAGUCUGAAGUUAAAGGCAGUGGCUUAACCAUUGUUCGCUUUGGAAACUGUUAAACUUGAGUGCAGAAGGGGAGAGUGGAAUUCCAUGUGUAGCGGUGAAAUGCGUAGAUAUAUGGAGGAA
RNAcentral lists this ribosomal RNA (325 nucleotides) under uncultured bacterium. Its description in RNAcentral is "bacterial SSU rRNA". It matches the Rfam family "Bacterial small subunit ribosomal RNA", at positions 390 to 706 of the family's 1533-position model. The record is from RNAcentral.